AUUGAACGCUGGCGGCAUGCCUUACACAUGCAAGUCGAACGGUAACAGGUCUUCGGAUGCUGACGAGUGGCGAACGGGUGAGUAAUACAUCGGAACGUGCCUAGUAGUGGGGGAUAACUACUCGAAAGGGUGGCUAAUACCGCAUGAGAUCUACGGAUGAAAGCAGGGGAUCGCAAGAACUUGUGCUACUAGAGCGGCCGAUGGCAGAUUAGGUAGUUGGUGGGAUAAAAGCUUACCAAGCCGACGAUCUGUAGCUGGUCUGAGAGGACGAUCAGCCACACAGGGACUGAGACACGGCCCAGACUCCUACGGGAGGCAGCAGUGGGGAAUUUUGGACAAUGGGCGAAAGCCUGAUCCAGCAAUGCCGCGUGCAGGAUGAAGGCCUUCGGGUUGUAAACUGCUUUUGUACGGAACGAAAAGCCCCGGGUUAAUACCCUGGGGUCAUGACGGUACCGUAAGAAUAAGCACCGGCUAACUACGUGCCAGCCGCCGCCGUAA
RNAcentral lists this ribosomal RNA (498 nucleotides) under uncultured bacterium. RNAcentral describes it as "partial 16S ribosomal RNA". It matches the Rfam family "Bacterial small subunit ribosomal RNA", at positions 30 to 523 of the family's 1533-position model. The record is from RNAcentral.